This 468-nucleotide ribosomal RNA is filed under the name uncultured bacterium. Its description in RNAcentral is "partial 16S ribosomal RNA". It matches the Rfam family "Bacterial small subunit ribosomal RNA", at positions 28 to 507 of the family's 1533-position model. The record is from RNAcentral.
GACGAACGCUGGCGGCGUGCUUAACACAUGCAAGUCGAACGGUAAGGCCUUGUCUUUGUGGGGUGCUCGAGUGGCGAACGGGUGAGUAACACGUGAGUAACCUGCCCUUGACUUUGGGAUAAUUUCAGGAAACUGGGGCUAAUACUGGAUAGGUGCUCCUGCUGCAUGGUGGGGGUUGAAAAGUUUGGGCGGAUGGGGAUGCACUCGCGGGUGAUCAGCUUGUUGGUGAGGUAGUUGCUUACCAAGGCUUUGUCGGGUAUCCGGCCUGAGAGGGUGACCGGCCACAUUGCGAGUGACAUACGGCACGGAGUAGUACGGAAGGCUGCAGAAGGGGAGAUAGCAUGAUGGGCGCAAGCCGGGUGCAGCAACGCCGCGUGCGGGAUUGCGGCCUUCGGGUUGUAAGCCGCAUUCGCAUGUGACGGAGCGUGGGUGACGGUAAUGUAUGAAGAAGCACCGGCUAACUACGUG